CCCGCUACAGAAACUUAAAGGAAGUUGACGGGGCCCGGCACAAGCGGAGGAGCAUGUGGUUUAAUUCGAUGAUACGCGAGGAACCUUACCUGGGCUCGAACGUAAGAUGACUGUAGGUGAAAGCUUACAUCUCUUCGGAGCAUUUUACGAGGUGCUGCAUGGUUGUCGUCAGCUCGUGCCGUGAGGUGUCGGGUUAAGUCCCAUAACGAGCGCAACCCCUACCUUUAGUUGCCAUCAGGUUAAGCUGGGGACUCUAAAGGAACUGCCUACGCAAGUAGUGAGGAAGGCGGGGAUGACGUCAAAUCAGCACGGCCCUUACGUCCAGGGCUACACACGUGCUACAAUGGCCGAUACAGAGGGCAGCUACCUGGUGACAGGAUGCAAAUCUCCAAAGUCGGUCUCAGUUCGGAUCGGAGUCUGCAACCCGACUCCGUGAAGUUGGAUUCGCUAGUAAUCGCGCAUCAGCCAUGGCGCGGUGAAUACGUUCCCGGGCCUU
Molecule: ribosomal RNA, 496 nt
Filed under: uncultured Sphingobacteriales bacterium
Lineage: Bacteria; Pseudomonadati; Bacteroidota; Sphingobacteriia; Sphingobacteriales
Description: bacterial SSU rRNA
Rfam family: Bacterial small subunit ribosomal RNA
Source: RNAcentral